This 1917-nucleotide long non-coding RNA is filed under the name Microcebus murinus (gray mouse lemur). RNAcentral's name for it is "lncRNA (ENSMICG00000048773.1)". Lineage: Eukaryota; Metazoa; Chordata; Mammalia; Primates; Cheirogaleidae. The record is from RNAcentral.
GGUGGCUGUUAUGGCCUCACCCCUGGACUCAUUCUGUGCAGUCUCCUCCCCCUUCUCUCCACCCCAUGCAGGGACAGCACUCUGGGUCAGCCUGCCCAGUGAGUCACAGCAGACAGAGGUGCCACUGCACUUAAAGUGAAACCCGGACCUUUGACCUGCAGGCAGAGUGACUCAGGCACGCCUGUGAAGGUCUGGAGGAAGGGCGCCCAGGCUACAGGAACAGCAAGCGGGGGCGCCCCCAGGUGGAAUCAGUCUUGCUGCACCCCAGGGCCAGGAAGAGCCUCCACCUGCGAGGCUGGGCGGAGCCAACGAGAGAGCAGCAGCCAGGUGCCUCCUUUCCUGUCGGCCAAAAAUAAAACAAACUCCUCUCUCACCCUCCACCUUCUUCUGCUUUCUGGGGGAUCCUUUAUGUUUCCUGGCUCCAACACUAUAAACCCCUCCUUGGAACUAGGUCCCUGUUUGCCCAGGAAAGUUACAAGGGAGUGGCCCAGUCUGUUUUGCCUUGGGUGGCCAGGGGUGAGCUGAUUUAUGUCACAAACAAACCAUCUGCCCUUGUCUGGCCCAGUAGCUAAUCUCUAAGCAGCCCCCCAAAUCUUCCUGCCCAACCAGGAACAAUUCUACUUUCUGUCUUUUUUUUUUUUUCUAGAAAGGCUGUGGCAGGUGCAGCAGCCUCCUGGGGGAAGAGGGAGGUGAGGAGACACAAGUCUCUUUUCGUCUCCUCCCAGCCAGGUCCCUCAGCAUCCGCUCAGCUGGGGGUACCUGCGUCUGGAUGAAGGUGGGGUAUGCUGCUUUCCCUGUCUUGUAGCCUGUGGCUAAAGCCAAUGUCCCCGACUAUAUUAGUGCUCUAUUGCUGUGUAGCCGGAGUACCACUAACUUUUAGCAGCUUAAAACAACACACAGUAAUUAUCUCCCAGUUUCUGUGGUCAACAGUCUGGACACAGCUUAACUGGCUCCUCCGUUAGGAACUCACAAGGGUGCCACCAAGGCGUCUGCUGGGGCGUGUUCUUACUCGGAAGCUAGACUGGGGAAGAAUCUGCUUCCUAGCUCACUUAGGUUGUUGGCAGAAUUCAUUCCCUUUGAGGUUACGGGACUGAGCAUCCUGGUUCUGGCUGGCUGCAGGCUGGGGACCACUCUCAGCCCCUAGAGGCUGCUGGGAGAUCCUCACUGUCUGUGCCUCUCCGGCAUGACCGGCUACUCCCCCAAAACCGCACAGACAGUCUCUAGGGCAAGUCGGCUAGCGAGACAGAACCUCAUAUGAAAGUGAAAUCAAAUCCAUUGCCUUUGCCGUAUUCCGCAAGUCACAGUUCCUGCCCACGCUCUUUCUAUUUUUAUGUAUAUCCCAUUAUCCUUAGUCUUUUUCUGAAUGAUUUGAGAGGAAGCUGUAGACAAAAUACCCCUCAAAUACUCCAGAGUGUACUUGCCCCCAAAUAAGGGCACUCUCCUACACAAACAUAUAAAAUACAACUUUCCGAGUUAAGAAGUCAACAGAGACUCAGCAUUACCAUCCCUUCUGUGGCCCCUAGAAGUCUCUGAUGGCUCCCUUGCUUUGUAACAGCUGAUGUUCCAGGUUGGUCUAGUACAUUUCUGUCCGUACCUGGAAUCAGCAUCUUCCCCAGGGAGCCCUCAUUAUCUCUAGGGAUAAAUGGCAUUUCAAGACCACAGUCUGGGGCCUUUGCAUCCAUUUUUUAAAAAUGUAAUUUGGCUUUAGCCCAGGAGUUCGAGACCAGCUGGGGUAACAUCGGGAGACCCCCGUCUCUACAAAACAAUUAUUUAAAAAAUUAGCCGAGCGUGGCGACACGUCCCUGUGGUCCCAGCUGCUCAGGAGGCUGAAGAGAGAAGAUCGCUCAAGCCUGGAGGAGUUUGAGGCUGCAGUGAGCCAGCAUCACACCACUGCACCCCAGCCUAACAGAGCAAGAC